Molecule: ribosomal RNA, 173 nt
Filed under: uncultured bacterium
Lineage: Bacteria
Description: partial 16S ribosomal RNA
Rfam family: Bacterial small subunit ribosomal RNA
Source: RNAcentral
ACUCCUACGGGAGGCAGCAGUGGGGAAUAUUGCGCAAUGGGGGAAACCCUGACGCAGCGACGCCGCGUGAGUGAAGAAGGUCUUCGGAUCGUAAAACUCUGUCCUUGGGGAAGAAAAGGACGGUAGCCAAGGAGGAAGCCCCGGCUAACUACCUGCCAGCAGCCGCGGUAAUA